CAAACAUAACACUUUAAACAUAUGUAAAAUACAGGAGAAGUGAAAAGCCAGAGAUUAUUUAUAAAUAGAAAUGUAUAUUGCAUUAGCUUGCAGAUGAACGCUUAAUAAUAUUACUUCAAAUUAAUAAUGAUUACGUGCAGCACUAUGAAUGACAGAUCUAAUCAAUACCAUUUCCAGUACCUUUGACAUGCAGUUUUCUCAUCAGCUCCUGGUAAGCUCUAAUUGAGUCACUGCUGCCCAGUUCCAUGAGAACACAGGCCUAACUAGUUUCCUUUUCUUUACAUACUUUGCAUAUCUACGCAUUUGGAUAUUUCACAAUUGCAACAAGAGCAUCAACUCAAUUAGUUUCUAUGGGAUAAUCACUUGCUUAGCUUUGGCCUCAUGCCUUAAAACACUCUUGUAAUAAUGACCCAGAAAUAUACAGCCUACCUGGGCUCACUGCUCGAGGACACCACAGCACAAUGGCAGCAUUCAGUAUCACUUCAGACUAUAGUCUGCAAGCCAUUCUUAAAGCACUUGUAGCUUGCUAAAAUAAUAGCUUGCUUAUUGUGACAAGUUGCAAACUGACUUAUCACAUUUCAAACAGCUCCAUCCUGUGCUAUCCAAAAUUAUGUCCUUGACAGGUUGGUUGUAACACUCAGUUGGUUAUGACACCCAGAACCUUGCAAAACAGACUAAGGACUACUGAAUUCUGUUAAACCUCAGGCAAUGUUUCCAAACUCAUAUACUCAAAACCUGUGAGUAAAGAGACAGUAAAGCAUAGAGGGAUUCCUCAUUUACUUCUCAGAGGCACGACCUUGGAGUUGUUCCUUCUGCCUUUGCACACAUCCCGGUUAGAUGUCAAGCUGCCCCCCAGAAUCAUCACAGCUACAGAUUUCUAUACCUUAGGAAAGCUCUGCAUAUCUACAAGACUCAGAUGUAGGACUUUCAAAAAGCCAUGAACACUGUUCCACUUGAAAAUGCUGCUUGCAGCAUCAGCUUUCACAUCUAUACUGUGACAGUACAAAGUACAAAACCGCACCAAAAUAAAAUAAAAUCUGAUUUGUACAAUAGUAAUGUGCAAGUAUAGAAUCAUAGAAUCAUAGUAUAGCCUGGGUUGAAAAGGACCAACAAUGCUCAUCCAGUUCCAACCCCCUGCUAUGUGCAGGGUCGCCAACCAGCAGACCAGGCUGCCCAGAGCCACAUCCAGCCUGGCCUUGAAUGCCUGCAGGGAUGGGGCAUCCACAGCCUCCUUGGGCAACCUGUUCCAGUGCUUAUAGAAAUAUAGAAAUAUAAACCUUACCCCGGUAGCUUCCAACAACUUAUUUGAGUUGAUUCUAAUUAAGUUUUUAUUUUAUUUUAGCAGGAAGAGAGGUAACCGUAAAACUUUUUAGUAUAUAAGUAAUUAAAACUGGAAACGUAUCUUCUGGUUGGAAAUGAAAUAAAUCACGGCCGCCGGGCACACGUAGCAGCUGGCUCUAAGAGAGCCUCUCGCCUUCCCCCGAGCACCUUCGCAGUGGAAUGUAUUUCCCCUUCGGCCAAAGGGGGGAGAAACGCGGCCAUGAGCGUUCUACCCAAAUAUAUUUUCUUACUGCAACUGCGGUAAAGCAGAGCUUCCGAGUGCCCGUGCGCCGAGGAGGGCUCGUCGUUCGGGAGUGCAGGGAGUGCUCCGUGGGGGUACCCGCAGCGGCUGCCCGGGGCCGCCGGGUGGGAACCUUCCGCAUCCACCGACACGAGAAUGAAUAUUAAAAAGGCAAUAAAAAUAAAAGGAGAGAGGGAAAGCCGGCAGCUCGCCGGGUCGGGGGCUGCCGUUCCCCACGGCGGCCGUGGGAAAAGAGAAGGAGGGACGAAGGAACGGAGCCGGCCCCGGCGCUGCGCUGCGCGGAGCGAGAGCUCUCCCCUGUGCCCGAGCGGCACAUCUCCGCGCCGCGCCGCGCACCGCCCCGCUCUGCCCAUCCGCUGCGCUCCGCGCCGGGACCCCAAAGGGAGGCGAGGGGGGACCCGGGGGCGGCUCCUCCGGCCCUCCCUCCGCUCUUCCCCGUGGGGCUGCCGAGCUCUGUGCGGGGUCCGGACGGAGCGGGGCCGGCCGGUGCUCAGCGGCGGAGCUCAGCUUCGUAACAGCUGUGCGAAAAGGGUGCGCGGCCCAAACCCCCCCCAUCCUCCCCCCCAGCACCCCCAGCCGGACGGACCGCCGC
Molecule: long non-coding RNA, 2174 nt
Filed under: Gallus gallus (chicken)
Lineage: Eukaryota; Metazoa; Chordata; Aves; Galliformes; Phasianidae
Source: RNAcentral